This 2645-nucleotide small RNA is filed under the name Mycoplasmoides pneumoniae M129. Its description in RNAcentral is "Mycoplasma pneumoniae M129 ncRNA". Lineage: Bacteria; Bacillati; Mycoplasmatota; Mycoplasmoidales; Mycoplasmoidaceae. The record is from RNAcentral.
GGUUUGGUAAUCACACAAAACGGCUUCUAACAUUUUUUUGUCCUGUAAUUCUGCCGGGCUAAGUAGAGUUAACUUACGCAACUCCUGUUCAAUGACCCCUAAGUUAAAGGGUAGAAUCGUGGCUAAGUGGUCAAUUAAAUCAGGGUUUAAGUUGAGUUUGAGUGUCUUAGCGGCCUUACUGAUCACCUGGUGGAUGGUUUUAGCUGUGACUGGUUUACAAGCAUACUUGGUAAUUGCCCGGUCAUUAAUGAGGGCAUUAGCGGGACUGUCGCUGUAAAUGGUGACCACCACAUCAGUAUCUUUAAGUGUUUUUAAGCAGUGUAAUUCAGCCUUAGUUAAGUUGUUCUUUUCCAAAAAACUGCAGUUGUGAAUGAGGAUCGGUUUAGUGUCCUCAGCAAACAGAUUCUGGUUUAACACCACAUCAUACAGCUUAUUAACAUCUUGAAACCAGACCUGUUUACAAGCGGCUGGGUUGAGCAGUUGGUUUAACUGCUGGUGAAUUAACCCAAUAUCGGCACCAUAAACUACGGUCAUAGUAAAAGACUGUACCCACAGUAUACAACAAGCCCCACAGCCCAUAAUAAACCAGGUAAAACACCCAGUUAGGUUUGGGUAGAUUUAAAAAGACGGUCGUGUUUAAGGCUCACUGACUCAACCAGGGAAGUGGUCAGUAAAAACCGACCAAACUGUUGCCCAUUCAUGGAAUUAGCGGUAACAACAGUCAGCUAGCACAGAAGUAAAACAAGGCUAUGGGAGUAAACAAGAGGUUAUGAAACACACUUAAAGCGUUUAAUUUUCGAUUUAAGUGCAAAGUAAUCGGACUGACCACAAUGAGGAUUAAGGUGGAAGUUAACACCGCUUGCAGUGGCUUUCACAGCUUCACCUUAUUAAUGGCAAACAACACAAAGCACGCUAAAAAGGAAAAGUUAAAGCCAAAGUUGUGUAACGCUCCCGGACUCAUUAAGAUGAUUAACAGCGCCGUUAAGCCCAAAUUAUUUUCGGGUAGUUGCUUGGGAAACAUUUGCCGUAACAGCUUUGAGACAAAAACCCGUAAAGCUGAAAAGGCAAAUCCGACCAAAAAGAGGUACAGCAACAGCAUUACAAAACCCGUUAUUUUAUUGAUGUAAAAGCGCUUGUACAACCAGCGCUCCAUGACACCAAACAAAAAACUAAGGUGAAAACCACUAAUCACAAACAGGUGGACAAUAUUGAGCUGAAUGGCACUCUGAUACAGUGUGUUUUUUGUUGUUUCGUUAAUUAAAAACAGCUUUAAGUACUGAUUAAAAACACCACUAGUGUGUUGAUCUAGUCAACUAAUAAAAGGGGUGCGAAGUCAGUUCGCUUUCAUUAGUUUGGCUAGUUGAAACUCUGGCAUUAACUGACAGUAUGCUAGUAAAGCGGCACUACAACUGAUUAACAGUAAGCCAAACUUCCAGUGUACCGUUAAACUAAUUAGGUUAACUAUCACCAAAAAACUCGCUAAAAUUACCCACUGAUUUUGUUCGAUAAAGAAGUAAGCAGGGGUAAAGGUGAGUAACGUAAAAAAAUAAAACAGCUUUCACUUCAUGCUGUUUUAUUAAUUGGUUAAUUAGUUUAGAAAUGCCAAUUAAAACUCUUUACUCCAGCUGGAACGGAGCGGAAAGCGUUGAGACAAACCACCACGUAACGGUGAGCGGUAACGCGGGGUGAAACUGGUGUAAUUGCUCCCUAGAUCAAAGCGGUGCGUGUUGAAAAAGGAACUGCGGUUACGCCUUAAGCUCGACAAUUCCAAUGGUCUUCUAAGUGGGUAAAAGCUACUUGGACUGCGGUAAGCGCCAAAGCUGUUAAGGCUGUCGAAGUUCAAACUCGCUGGGUUGCGGUAGUUUACAGCCAUCGGUGUAACACCAGUAAACCGACUGGCAAUUGGUGUUGACUCUACUGUUGGCCGUGUAAAACGUGCUCAACUGUUGCGGAUUGCUGGAAGGUUAAACAGCGGUUCGUUGUACUUGGUAGCCACAUAUUCACUCGGUGGAGCUAACUGGUAGCGCUCGUGCGGUAAAGGCGUACGGGUAGAAGCAUCGUGGAGGUGACCCAAACUCGCUAGCUUUUCCAACAAUAAGGAACGGUUGGUGGUGUGAAUGGUAAUUGCACCACUUUCAUUAUUAACACAAGCUGACUGACACGGUUGUGGUUCCACUACCGAUGCAGGGGAUGGUUUUCAUUCCGGUUCGGGUUGUGUUGGACGGAUAAUUGGUUGGACUACCACUUCUGGUUGAACUACAACUGGUGGAACCGCAGGAGUUGUUUGGACUACCUUAGGUGUCACUUUAGGUGUAGCUACUUGAGGAGUAACUACUACCUGUGGUGCUGGCGUUGGUGUUACUACCUUCGGUUCUGCCUUAACAACUGGUUGAACUACAGCAGUUGGUUGGACAACUACUGGAGCAGGGGUUGGUUGUGGUGCUACUUUAGGUACAGCUGGAACAGGGGUUGGUUGGGCCACUUGGAGUGCAACUUUUGCUGUUACUACCUUCGGUAUUUCAACUUUAGGUGAGUCAACCUCAACAGUUACAGGUGUUGGUUGUGGUUGUUCCACUACCUUAGGCUCUACUUUAGGGGCAGGAGUAGCUUCUACCACUGGUGUUGGGGUAGGUUCCACUACCUUA